Molecule: long non-coding RNA, 88 nt
Organism: Mustela erminea (ermine)
Lineage: Eukaryota; Metazoa; Chordata; Mammalia; Carnivora; Mustelidae
Exons: 3
Source: RefSeq, a predicted model, not a curated record
CAGGACCCUGGGAUCAUGACCCAAGCCGAAGGCAAAGGCCUUAACCCACUGAGCCACCCAGGCAGCCCAUUUUUUCAUAUUUUAACAA